AAUCCAUGAUGAAGGCACAAUCUCACCAUCUUGUUUAAGCGCUCCCGAGAUUCAUAGAGAGAUUCUCUCAUCAUUUUGAGAAAAACUUGUGAUUUGAUUUCUCAAUU
Cicer arietinum (chickpea) is the source of this 107-nucleotide small nucleolar RNA. The record is from RefSeq and is a predicted model, not a curated record. Lineage: Eukaryota; Viridiplantae; Streptophyta; Magnoliopsida; Fabales; Fabaceae.